Brassica oleracea var. oleracea is the source of this 930-nucleotide long non-coding RNA. RefSeq lists it as uncharacterized. Lineage: Eukaryota; Viridiplantae; Streptophyta; Magnoliopsida; Brassicales; Brassicaceae. The transcript has 9 exons. The record is from RefSeq and is a predicted model, not a curated record.
UCUCUCUCACUCUCUGUACCCAUUCUUUCUUUCUCUCCUCUCUCGAUGGAUCUCGGAUCUUGCAAGCUGUAUCGUUAAGGAGAGCUCCACCACGGACAGCCAUUGUCAUGGUACAGAGGAGAAACUGUUAAUCCCACCUGAUGUUGACGUACAAUGGUGAACGCUUCUGGAAGCCCAUUUGUGGAAAGCCUGUCAAUGGUCUGUGGUAGCUUAGGUGGAGGCAUGAAGGGAUUAUUCGGCAAGGUAUCUCUCUGCAGAAUAAGUUGGCUCCUAUAUACAGUGUUGUGUCAAGGGUUUAAGGGGCUUAAGAUUGGGAACCGAUCAAGUGAGUUUCAUCCUGAAGUCAGAAGAGUAAGGAGAGUGUUCCUUUAUAUAUGAGGAGUUAAUGCCCACCGUAGGAACUGAUGUCAAGGUGUACACAGUGGGUCCUGAAUACGCACAUGCUGAAGCAAGAAAGUCGCCUGUUGUUGAUGGUGUUGUUAUGAGGAAUACUGAUGGCAAGGAAGUGAGAUAUCCAGUGUUGCUUACACCUGCAGAAAAGCAAAUGGCUAGACAACUUUGCAUUGCAUUUAGGCAAGCUGUGUGUGGGUUUGAUCUUCUACGAUAUGAGGGAUGUUCAUAUGUUUUGUGAUGUAAAUGGAUGGAGUCUUGUCAAGAACUCUUACAAGGUGGACAUUUCUCUGGAAUAUACAGGAAGGUUCAGUUGAAGCCGCUAAAGUGGGGUGAUGAAGGAGAAGAAUAAAGAUCCGUAAAGGCCCUUAUGAAAACAGGUCGAAGACUUGCCCUUAUGAAAAACAGGUAGUAGAAGUUUAAUAUUGUUUAGUGUAAAACCUAAUAAAACAUAUUGUCAACUAAUUGAUAUUUAGGAAUAAUAUGCUUGUCUUGUUUAUAUGUUCAGCUUUCUAAUUACUGAUGUUUGCAUCAUCUGCA